AAAGUAUCACAAACCGCCAUGCCACGUUUACAAAUUUCCGCCGCGAUUUUAUUUUUUCACACAGAAAUUGUUGGUUAAAUCUGUUUGAAAAUUUCUCUGAAUUGUAUCGACAGUACAAAGAAAAUUCAGUGAAAUUUUCAGACAUCUUCGUUGAAAAAUUUCUCUGUAAAAAAAUAAAAUGGCGGCGGAAAUUUUUAAACGUCACAUGGCACUUGCGAUACUUUGACCAAAGGUGACAAGCUUUAAUUUGUGAUUUUUGAAAUUUCAUAUCGUAGAACCAGUUUUAGAUAGAGCUGCCGAUUUUUUUUCACACACGAAACUGUUACUGCAGAACGCUUUUUUUUAAAAAAAAAAUGUGAGGUAGGUACUUUAUUACUGAAGGGUACUUUUACAUACUUCAAGGAACCAUUGAGAACUGACCAUAUUUCCCUCAAAAGAUCGUGGGGUUCUAUAAUACGUCAUCAACCACAUAGCCUCCCUGCAUUGUUGCGCGCAUUCUCCGUCCGAGAGCUGCAGCAGUGCAGCGUACGUUGCACCGGUGAGCCGGUUUGUGGAAUUUCGGGAGGGGUUGUUUCUACACGGUUGCAACCUUUUACUCUCCUUUUUUAAGGUUAGAGUAAAGAUAUUCACUCUUAUCAGGAUACUCUUGCUAUCAGUGGUUUUGCAUUCGUGGUGUAUAUGUAAUUCGUGUGCAUUUGGUGUGCGAAGCUAAAACUUCUACUUUAAAAAAGGAUCAAGGAAUAAAACAUGCGGGACGAUCCUUUGCAGCCAGUGCCAUGGACGAGGAUGGAAGAGCUUUUGGAGAAACUGCUGUCAGAUGUACCCAAUUCGCUCACAGUGUAUGGAAUGGUGCAAACAGCUUUACUGUGGAAACAAACCGAAGUCUCUCAUCGUUUGGCAUGUACACCACCAGUGAUCGGUUUGAGGGAGCUGCAAUAGUCGGAAUUUUUAAAAUUUCUGACUCUCAUGACUACAGAGUGACGGUCUAUUGCUUCGGAGAAGACACUUCAAUGUUGCAGGAGGCCCUGCUGAGGACAAAUCGGAUCAAAUGGAACUCACCAGAAUCGACGAUAUUCUUCACAGCCAUCCCCGAAAAACUCCUGCCAGUCGUGCAGCGGUGUGUUUCGGGCCAGGGUUUUGGCAUUGUACAGACAGAAAAUAUAGUUUAUCAGUGGAAAACUCCCGAUCACCUGAAUUCCUUGAAUUACUCAUGUCCGCCGGAAGUUCGCGUGGCGCCCCUGGGUCUCGAGUACGUGGAACUAAUCCGGAAAAACUGGUCGAAUCUCCCCGCUUCGGCCGAGUACAUCGAGAUGCUGAUCAAGCAAAACAUCAACUUGGGCGUCUACUCGCGUGCCACGGGGAGCUCUGCGCCUGGGUGUUAUGCAACGAGUUCUGCGCCCUGACCAUGAUGCACACCAUGGAGAAUCAUCGACGCAAAGGCUACGCGCAGCUCUUGUGCAACGCCAUGAGUGAGCGCCUCCUUCGCGCGGGCAUAAUCGCCAGGGCUGUCGUCAUGGAAGAGAACAGACCCUCCUGAAGCUUUUCGAGUCCCAUAAAUUUAGGUCCAGCCGUGAUUUCUUCAUUUAUGUUCUUGCGAUGCCUCGUCGGGCUGUGGACAGUGGACAGUGGGAGAUUUAAAAUGCAAAAAAUGAUUAUCGAUAGUUGAGCGCAUAAUCCAUCUUCAUUGGGACAAUUUAUAGAAGGAAAAAGAAACAAUUUGUUUAAGGCUCUGAUCGAUUGAUUAGGGUUAGGUUUGGAGUGUGGCUGUGCAAACUUUAAUUAAGGGGCUUGGAGGACAAAGGCGCAUAAGUGCAGUUUUUGCUAAUUCGAGAAAUACGUGUUUGAAGCUCCGAAAUUACGUGGAUCCUUAUGGCGGAAAGAAGUUCAAACUGACUUUUUGAUGCUUAAACAUUGGACUUUGGGAGCGAAUUUUUCCUAGGAUGUGCAUUUUUUUAUAUAAGAAAAUUGUACAGUGGCAUAGACUAGUUUACUUGAAAUUAUUAAUAACUCAAUUUUUUCAAAAACUGCACUUAUGCGCCUUUUCCUCCAAGCUCCUCACUUUUACAACCUUGCCAUAAAUUAAUUACAUUUAUAAGGAACCACUAUUUCUGGCUUAUCCAUAGAAGCGCCUACAUACAUAUGGAAACUUAUGGUGCAUACAUUGUUUCUAAAACGAGUCAAAAGUAGUAGUCCCUCAUCGCAGAAUGUAGUCCAAAUGGAUGACAGAGCAGAGAAAAGAUCUGACUUGAUCUGAAGAAGAUAGAGAGUUUUCUUGAAAAUGGACUUAUUUUGCGCAGCGCUCCAAAACUUCCGAAAUGCGUGACGAAAAAAACUAUAUUUUGUAUGGGAAUGAAAAACUUUCAACGGCGCGGCGUCUGGUUUUUCAUGGGGUCUUGCGUGGUUCCUGCAAAUGCAAUGUUUUUUGCUUUGAAGUAACAGCACAACGCCCUCUUUUCAUUUCGUCCUCGCCUCGGUCUAAUAUAACUCACCAUUCCUGAACCACUGCACUUACUUCUUAUUUUCAAUGCUCCUGAUGCAGAUGAACUUUGUUUAUUGAGUACACUCGAAUGAAUCGGAAUACUGGAGAGAAAGUAACUCACGAUAUUUUGUAUUUUAAUGGCCAAUGGCUUUGAUUUUAAGGAAAGCAGGAUCCAACCAUAAUCGGUUUUUUUUUUUUUUUUUCAUUUUAAUGAUUACAUGUACCUCCAAAUACACAAACACACAAAUUCAUAAUACUCAUUUCAAUAUUGGAUCUCCGUGUUUGCCCGGUACUUUUAGACUUUAUGAAGUUUCAAUAGUUCUCAUAUUGUUGCAACUAUUUGAACAUUAACUGUUUAUUAGAAAUUAUUUAUCAUCUAUUUAUAUAUGUACUGUUAAUUUUAAAUUACUCACUUCGACUUUACAAGUUAUUUACUAUCUGUAUUAAUGAUAUUCACAAAUAUAUAUUUUAUGUAUGUUUAUUACGUAUGAUAAAUCUUGACGCUCUUUGCAUGAACGUCAUCUGUUUGUAAUAAAUGCAAAACCAAAGCUUUCAUAUGAUAUGUAACAGAUGUUUGAGCAAUAUACUCAUUUUUAGAAUAUUUCAAUACGAUGUUUGAAUGAUUUUUGUUGGUGUUCAAAUCAUACAACUGUCUCUCGGAAAUGAUUCGAUGGCGAUUAAAGUUACUUCAAGAUUAUAGACACGAAAUAUUUGCUGGACUGAUUCUUGAUGUAAAAAUAAUCCCUUUUUUAGUAGUAUAUACAAAACUUCUCUCCUCAAAAAAAUUCAAGGGCUACGUCCAGGUCGCCUCCUGACCGCUAAGCGGUUCAACCUGCCAAAGUGCUUCGCGCCUUAAGCAUUGUGCGAUAUGUGUUAAUAUUAUCAUAUUAUUUUAUCGAGUAAGGUAUCUUUCCUCUAACCUUUAAUUAAAAGAAAACUAAUUAUGUUCCAUUUUUUAUGGGGGUGUAAAAUGACACAUACUUAAAAUUACUUCCGAAAAGCGAUUUUAUCCUUACACUGGAUCUAUAAAUGAGGGGCUUGGAGGGCAAGGCACAUAAUGCAGCUUUCGAAAAAGUUGAGAUAUCAAUGAUUUUAAGUAAAAGUUGUCUUAAUGCAUAUGCUGUGAAAAAUUCUGUCCCCAAGUCCAAUUAUUAAGCGUCAAAAAGACAGUUUGAACUUUCUUUUCACCAUAAGGAUCCAUGU
RNAcentral lists this long non-coding RNA (3682 nucleotides) under Bemisia tabaci. RNAcentral describes it as "lncRNA ENSSSA2NGG000089". The record is from RNAcentral. Lineage: Eukaryota; Metazoa; Arthropoda; Insecta; Hemiptera; Aleyrodidae.